UACGGAGGGUGCGAGCGUUGUCCGGAAUCACUGGGCGUAAAGGGCGCGUAGGCGGCCAGACAAGUCGAUGGUGAAAGCUCAGGGCUCAACUCUGAGUCGGCCACCGAUACUGUUUGGCUCGAGUCGACUAGAGGCAGAUGGAAUUCCGGGUGUAGCGGUGGAAUGCGUAGAGAUCCGGAAGAACACCGGUGGCGAAGGCGGUCUGCUGGGGUCGAACUGACGCUGAGGCGCGACAGCGUGGGGAGCAAACAGG
This 253-nucleotide ribosomal RNA is filed under the name uncultured bacterium. RNAcentral's name for it is "partial 16S ribosomal RNA". It matches the Rfam family "Bacterial small subunit ribosomal RNA", at positions 524 to 776 of the family's 1533-position model. The record is from RNAcentral.